Lagopus muta (rock ptarmigan) is the source of this 6850-nucleotide long non-coding RNA. RefSeq lists it as uncharacterized. NCBI's taxonomy places the organism in Eukaryota, Metazoa, Chordata, Aves, Galliformes, Phasianidae. The record is from RefSeq and is a predicted model, not a curated record. The transcript has 5 exons.
CGCCAACUAAUGGAAAGAAGGCAUUGCAAAGUCAUUAUGCAGAGAAGCAAGAUACAUACAGGAGAUUUAAGAUACUGAGAUGGAUGAUUUAUAAUCAAAAGAAGGCGAUAAACAUUAGAAAUUGGGGUGUUUUAAGUAUAGUCUGGAUAUCAGGAGUUUAUUUUCCUCACCUUUCUUAUAGGUACUGUUUCUACAUUUCUUGAAUCCUAUUCUAUGCAGUAAAGGUAGAUUCAAACACCCAGGAAUGCAGCAGGUUUACAGGAAGCAAAAUGAUGCACCAUUUCAUACAGUGUCCCAACUAUAAGUGCAGAAAUGAGUGCACAAUGUAUAAAUGACUUCAAAACCAGAUUGGGGUCAUUUGUACAAGGGAAAUCCCAAUGGACAUACUCAAUGUUGGAAUUUGGGAAAAAGAAUAAUUAAAUCGUAGAAUCAUAGAAUGGUUUGGGUUGGAAGGGACCUGUAAGAUCACCCAGUUCCAAAACUUUGUUUCUCUUUGCUUUAUUAUUUUCCUGUUGCAGUGUAGGAAAAAAAAAAAGAAAAGAGGGGAUUUAUUGGAAAAAAAAUGCUUAAGUAAAUAUGACAGAGUAAGUGGAGGUGGCCAUACCCCAAAGUAAUUUGCAAGGAUUUAUAGCUCAAAAAGGUUAUGUUGAUCAGAGACAAAUACAUUUAAAUGGUGGGGAAGAACCUCCACGGUAAUGCACAGGUUGAGUGAAUCCCCAAUAAACCCUGCCUUAAAACGAGACCAUCGCACCUCUUUAAAAAAAUGAUACAGGGAUUUUCCCUGCCCAGAAUAGGACUGCAGGAUUUGCAUUACUAAAAUGAAUUUCUAUUUAUACUUUCUCAAGCAUGCUUCUCGUUUUGAUGACAAGCUGCAGGAACACCAUGCUGGAGUGUAACAGCUCCUGCAAAUUCUGCCUUAAGAAAAGACACCACACAACGUGUGUUUUUAUGACAUGCACUUGGUGCACUCAGGUGCUGAUGUGUGUAGGGACAAACGGUGACCACAAGCCAGGAGAAGCAUCACCGUCACCGGUGGAAUCACACUAGUUUAAUGCUAAUGCAAAAUGAAUUCAUAAUCUGACUUAUUUGCUAUUAACAGCCCGUGGAAGAAAAUGCUCUGUGUGUAGGAAGUAAAAUUUAUAAUGAAGUUAACAGCAGAAACUGCUUGUAAACAGAUAGUUUACAUCUGAACAGGUGCUUACAUCUAAAAGGGUGCUCUGGCCACAAGCUGCCCCCUCUCAGGAUCUCCAAAUGGAUAUUAAAGAAGGUAACAUAGGGAUGGCUUUCCAAGGCAGCAGAGAAAACCUGCACGCAGCAUGCAUUUAGGCUGUCUAAUUAUGAGUGCUACCCCAUCACUAAUAACACAGAGCAGAAGCUGUUAACAAUUAUGAGCAAAUUCUGUUAUUAGAUUAUUAGACUGAGUAAUUUCAGAGCCUCUAAGGAGCUGAUGAGAAGCAAUGCAUGUAAAGCAGGCGGCCGGGGAAGGCAGGAGGCAACGCCAGCACUGCUCAGGGCACGCGAGGUCACUAUUAUUAGCCACGAGAUAAGACCUGCCAGAGAUUCUUUCCUCAAUAAGAGCAUCCUAAAAAUAAAACACUUUUUACUGCUCUUGAAAAUAAAAGCGCCACUUUGCAUGCCCAUUUCAUCCCUUCGUAAUACUCAAACUACCAGAUGAAAUGAGAAUAAACUAAGCUUCGCCGUUCGGAUGCAAUUUAGGGAUUAGCGGAGGGCUGAAGUAGGCAGAUAAUUCCUCCUGGGUGGUACAAGGAGAGCAUUGAAAAUAGUCCCAGGAGGCAUUUUCCCUGGUGAUCCUUGGGGAGGGGAAAGCGGGGCAAGUUGGGGAGGCAUGGGUGCCAGGGGUACAGCAACCCGCUCAAGCUUUAUAGGGGUCCAAAGCACACAGCCUUGCAAGGAAUUCUCCCCAUCUUGUCGUGCUUUGGCCAGCAGUAGCCUUGUGAAGAGCUUUCAUCUCUCUUUGCUGAGGUGGUCAUGGCGUUGCACAGGAGAGGCUGGCGAAGGCAGCGCAGGGAGUGUUGGGCAACUUCAGCCAACAUCUCCUAGACUUUGGAUUUGGCUGACCUCCGUGGCUGGGAGUGCAAUAAGCUGCAUUUUGCCAGCUGCACGUGAUUCAUUCAGUCCUGUUCAAGAACUGGAGCACUAAGGCAACAGGGAAACUGAGGAACAGCAAAGUGGCUUAUGGCAGAACUAGGAAGAAGACCUUGAUCCCUUCCAUCUUUCCAACUCUUCCUGCCCUUACCACAGCACGAGCUCUGAAAAAUUCAUACUAUACCCUUGGAAGAAAAAACAAAGGUCAUGCCUGGAGUGAAUAAUUACUGUUUUUAAUCCCACUGCUCAAUAGUUCAUCCUCUUUCCAUCCAUGACAAACAACAUGCAACUCUGUGAAGGUUUUUCUAGCUCAAACACACCAAUAAUUAAAACCAAACAGACUAUUUUGUAAUCCACCUUUUGCUUACAGUAAGCAUUAGAUACGGAGAUAUUCUUGUUCCAGUCCCCACUGGCUUGUUAAGUCUACUUGAGUGUCUUGAGAGAGGGAUGAAAAGACAACAUAAUUUGCUAUGUGGUGGGAGUCCUUUAAACCUUUGGCUCUUUGGGGAUAAUGUUUCCCUUUGCUCACAUUCUCCAGCCCAGCACACACACGUGGGAGAAGAAGCACUGGGAGGUUGCAUGGCCAAGGCAAACCCAUCUCUGCCACAUGGAGAAGGGAGAGGAUGCAUGUGCUCCUCUGUGCCAACGGGACUGUCCUCUCCUGGUACCCAGGUUUAGCAGUGGUGAUGUCAGGUAUGGAUGAGGAAGCCUGCUCCUUCCUUCUCACUCAGUGCCUGGAUUAAAGCCUGAGGAGAGGAGGGAGGGCUGAGUGGCAGUAUUAGGAAAAGGGAUUUGAGCAUGUGUCUUGUCUUCUUGUGACAAGUACUCCAGUCAGCUUCCCUGCAGCUUAGAAUCAGCAAACUCAGCUCCAUUGGGGCAGGCAGAGCAGAUGGAUUUGACACUGAGGUGAAAGUACUGCACACUGGACAGAGACUGUAAACUCCAAAACCUGGCACCAAAGCAGACAUGGUGUGAGCAUCCUUAGCUCCUACUGCAUCUGCUUAUGCAUGGGACUGCCUGCAUUAUUCCAGUACUGGAGGCUGCUGGAGAAACAAGGGAAGAGAUACAAUAGGUUGAGUUUCUAACAGAAGACCCUCUGUGUUUUGUUAUUUUUAUAAGAGGAAAAAAAAGAUGAGAGAUUUAUCCUAGAGUAAGCUGAGAUAAUUAAAGUCCUCUGGCAGAUAGCUUUUUUGCAGCAGAUACCUAUGAAUUCUCCUGAAUGCAUGGAAUCAGAAUAAUUAAGGUUGGAAAAGACAUCUAAAAUCCCCAAAUCCAACCAUCAACCCAUCCCCACAAUGCCCACCACCCAUGUCCCUCAGUGCCACAUCUACCUUGUGUGUUUGGUGAAACUCAGGUAGCAUGAUCAGCUUAGCUUUUUCCAAAUGCUUUGCAAGGAUUAUUAGAAGUUUAGGAAAGGGAAAGCAAAAUCCUUCCCUAUCAGCUGUGCUGGCCCUUAUCUUAGCCUGAAGUUAUAAAUGAAAUCAAUCCAAAGCAUAUAUUUAGCAAUGACGUGUUUGUUCUGUCCCAGUGCCACUUGCUUAGAUGCUGUAUCACCCUUCCUUUCCCCUUUCUUUCAUCCGUUCAGCCUCUUUCAGUUCAUCAUCCCCCACUGCAAUGUUUGUCUUUCAGCAGCAACUUCCAGAAAAAUGGGAACUGACCUCAACUUGAGCCCAAGUAAUGGAGACAAACAUCACCCAAGAACUGCUUGUCGUGCAAUGGCAGUGGUUGGGAUAGAGCUCUAUGUGGGAUGGGAUGUGCCUGGUACACGCACAGCACUGAUGUGUCCCACGGGCUCCUUCCCACUGCCAGGAGGGGAGAUGACAUCCUUUCCCUCAUUGCUUCAUAGAAUCAUAGAGAGGCUUAGAUUGGAAGGGACCUUAAAGAUGAUCCAGUCCCACCUCCCCCUGCCACAGUCUGGUUGCCAUUUAUUAGCUCAGAUUGCCCAGGGCCCCAUCCAACCUGGCCUUGGCCACCUCCAGGGAUGGGGCAUCUGCAAUAAGAAAUACACUGCUGAUGGCACCGGCCUGCUUAAUGCAAAUUUAUUAUAUAUAAUAGACACAAAGCUUGGAGCAAUCAGGAAAAGAAGUCUCUUCUCCUCUCCCAUGUUUCCUGCCAAACGUGAUGAGCACACAUUAAGGCUCAUUAGGUUAAAACAGUGCUAUUCUGCAUUUCUCCUGUCAAACUCUAACUGGCGUUACAGGGGAAAAUAUACACAUAGAAAGGCUGCUAAGCCACAAUGGAUGGAGUUUGGAAAUCUUUUUAUGUAAUUUUAUACGUCCUUUGGAAGUCUGUUCUUAACCAAUUGGGUGAUAUAUGGGGUUGAGGGUAGGGGGAGAUGUUCAUGCUACUCCUGAAGGGUCCUUAAGGAAAUCAGGCUGUUGUUAAUAGGCAUCAUUUGGUCUGCAAGAAAAAAAAAAAAUCACCUUUGGAGCACUUUUUGAGGUCUGUUGGUACACAGGAGUGAUUUGAAUGGUCCUUUCUUUUAGUAGUGUUUGUUCUGAUAAUUCUUUAGUUGGUAAAUUUGCGGUUUGGGAUUAAACCUGGCCAUAUAUUUUUAGGAGCCUGAUUAAUGGCCACAGGUGGAUUUAGCUGCAGUGAUUAAGGUGUUUUCUCUGCCCUGCUGUCAGUUUGGGGUUAUUUAGAUACAGCUGAGCAGGAUGGGGUUCCACUCUGCCCCCAGCACCCAGACCUGCUCUCUGCUGGGAACCACAGCUCCUCACUCUGCUCAGAUCACACGUUUGUGUAGAGGUGUUUUAUUGUUUUGUUUUGUUUUGUUUUUUAAUAUCAUGACUCGGGGGGAAAAUGUGCACAUAACGGUAGAAUUAAAAGGAAUAGAAAUCUUUGCAUCACGAAAAGCAAAGCCAGUGCCUGGCUUGGGUGCCAGAGCCGUGAACCAGAGACAUCCAUCCCCGUUCGGCCCCAUCGCUGAGCCCCCCCAGUGGGUGGGGGCAGCAGCGGAACCUCCUCACCCCCCACCCCCUAGGUCCUAAGCGUUCUUCAAACGGCAACGAAAAGCCACGGCCCGGGCACCCACCCCCCGCAUCAUCUUCCUGCCGCCGCGGGAGGAAAGUUUCGGAUCCCAUUGCUCAGUGCAGACGUUGCACCAGGUGGGUGAGCCAAGAGCCCAGCAUGCAGCAGGAACGGAGUCCUGUGCCCCAGGUGGGGGCUUCUCCUUCAUUUUCCUCUGAUGUUAAGUACAUUUCUGUGAGCACAUAUAUUUUGUGCACGUACAUCUGUGUUCCUACCCAUCUCAUCUGUGCACCUGGAGCUGUGCUCGCCAGCAGGAGUGAUGCUGGGGAGGGGCAAUGUUGCUAGGAGAUGGAGGCUCCAGUGCCUGGUGAAGUGGUAUCUUUAUUUUUGGUGUCGAUCACAUGAAAUUGCAUUUGGCUGUGGAGCAGGACAGGGAUCUCUUCCCUUUGCUCAGUGAAUGAUGCAGAAAAGAAAUGUAGACUGGGCAGCUCAGUUAGGAAUGGGUCAGGAUGGUGCCCUUUCUGGUUCAGGAUGCAUUUUCCAGCUCAAUGUGACUGAAAAAAGAUGAGGAAUGCCAUGCAUCUAUUUAUACAGGAGCUCAGGUUUGGGGCCAUGCCAUCUAACCCCUGUAAGUGCCCUAAAUCUGUGGAUUUUCAGCAGGAUUUGAUUUCCUGGGCUGUUUGGAGGAGAUAGUUAAUGAGAUAAUGCAGCAGUGGGUGAACUGUGACACGCGAAAUGCUUUAUUUUGAAUGUUUCAGGAACGACGUGCAUCAGAGGCUUUAGAUUUGUAACCAAGCAAUUUCCAUUUGUGUUAUGUAACUGACGUUAUUUAUCAAGCUCCAUACCCUGGCCAAGAGCAGAUGUUGGACUGCAGCAUUGAAAAUGAACUUUUCUGGAGAUGGAUGCUGAGCACUUUCAAGUGGGUUAUUUAGAAGGUUUGUGACCAGAAAUCAAACCAGGCUGAAAAAAAAUGUAGAUCUACCUGUUUACAUCAUAAACCACGAACACAUUUGCAUCCUGCAACAAACACCUGGGCAACAUCCAGUGGAGACAUUCCCAACGUGUUAACUACUGCCAGCGCUGGAAUCCUGUAAUCACAGCACAUCAAGAUGAUGGGAACUCAAUUAAAUUAAGGAGAAACACCAAGAUUGUGAAACUUGGCGGCAGGACAAGAGCUGGUUGCAACACAGGCUGGACUUUAGAAGCGUGACCUUUUGACCUGAAUCAUGACAAGUGAUUAUGAGGAAGAGCUGCUCUCACUUCUAAAUUAUUGCCACGCAAUGAGCAGAUUUCUACGGGGUGGCUGAAGUCAUGUCCUGAGAUACGAGGGAUACAAGCAUCCCAUUCCUGCUCUACUUUGUACUACAAGACUGGUCUUAGCGAAGCUUAUUCUCUUAAAAUGUCCUGACUGGCUGAAUAAAACACAAUUUCUGUUCUAAUAUUGUUGGGUUGUGAAACAUUGCAAUAGAGGCACAAAUGUGAGCAAGAACAAGUUUUACUGCAGACGCUUUAUCUUCUAAUAGAUUGUCCCAGUGCUGCAUUCCUCAUUCCCUGGCAGUUUGGUCCAGCUCAGAUUGGAAGAUGGUGAAGAUCUUGGGAGAUCUCCAAUAACGUAGGGCAAAAUGCACUGAUAACAGAAAUGCAAUGGCUUUGGUUGAUCUGUAGAAGGAAAAAAAAAAGAAACGGUCCACAGUGAGAAUGCAGAAUAAGAUUGAGAGGAAAAGCUGAGCCCUAAAAGGGAGGCUGGUGCGUGGUGUAUUCAAUAAUUGCAUUU